This 448-nucleotide ribosomal RNA is filed under the name uncultured bacterium. Its description in RNAcentral is "SSU rRNA". It matches the Rfam family "Bacterial small subunit ribosomal RNA", at positions 26 to 518 of the family's 1533-position model. The record is from RNAcentral.
AGAGCGAACGCUGGCGGCAGGCUUAACACAUGCAAGUCGAGCGGAUGUAGCAAUACAUCAGCGGCAGACGGGAGAGGAACACGUGGGAACGCGCCCUUUGGUUCGGAAUAACUCAGGGAAACUUGAGCUAAUACCGGAUAAGCCCUUACGGGGAAAGAUUUAUCGCCAAAAGGAACGGCCCGCGUCCGAUUAGCUAGUUGGUGAGGUAAUGGCUCACCAAGGCGACGAUCGGUAGCUGGUCUGAGAGGAUGACCAGCCUCACUGGGACUGAGACACGGCCCAGACUCCUACGGGAGGCAGCAGUGGGAAUAUUGGACAAUGGGCGCAAGCCUGAUCCAGCCAUGCCGCGUGAGUGAUGAAGGCCGUUAGGUUGUAAAGCUCUUUUAGCAGGGAAGAUAAUGACGGUACCUGCAGAAAACGCCCGGACUAACUUCGUGCCAGCAGCCGC